This 465-nucleotide ribosomal RNA is filed under the name Vreelandella stevensii. RNAcentral's name for it is "partial 16S ribosomal RNA". It matches the Rfam family "Bacterial small subunit ribosomal RNA", at positions 338 to 795 of the family's 1533-position model. Lineage: Bacteria; Pseudomonadati; Pseudomonadota; Gammaproteobacteria; Oceanospirillales; Halomonadaceae. The record is from RNAcentral.
CCUACGGGGGGCAGCAGUGGGGAAUAUUGGACAAUGGGGGGAACCCUGAUCCAGCCAUGCCGCGUGUGUGAAGAAGGCCCUCGGGUUGUAAAGCACUUUCAGUGAGGAAGAACGCCUGGUGGUUAAUACCCAUCAGGAAAGACAUCACUCACAGAAGAAGCACCGGCUAACUCCGUGCCAGCAGCCGCGGUAAUACGGAGGGUGCGAGCGUUAAUCGGAAUUACUGGGCGUAAAGCGCGCGUAGGUGGCUUGAUAAGCCGGUUGUGAAAGCCCCGGGCUCAACCUGGGAACGGCAUCCGGAACUGGCAAGCUAGAGUGCAGGAGAGGAAGGUAGAAUUCCCGGUGUAGCGGUGAAAUGCGUAGAGAUCGGGAGGAAUACCAGUGGCGAAGGCGGCCUUCUGGACUGACACUGACACUGAGGUGCGAAAGCGUGGGUAGCAAACAGGAUUAGAUACCCCUGUAGUC